RNAcentral lists this ribosomal RNA (465 nucleotides) under uncultured Klebsiella sp. RNAcentral describes it as "bacterial SSU rRNA". It matches the Rfam family "Bacterial small subunit ribosomal RNA", at positions 338 to 795 of the family's 1533-position model. The record is from RNAcentral. Lineage: Bacteria; Pseudomonadati; Pseudomonadota; Gammaproteobacteria; Enterobacterales; Enterobacteriaceae.
CCUACGGGCGGCUGCAGUGGGGAAUAUUGCACAAUGGGCGCAAGCCUGAUGCAGCCAUGCCGCGUGUGUGAAGAAGGCCUUCGGGUUGUAAAGCACUUUCAGCGGGGAGGAAGGCGGUGAGGUUAAUAACCUCAUCGAUUGACGUUACCCGCAGAAGAAGCACCGGCUAACUCCGUGCCAGCAGCCGCGGUAAUACGGAGGGUGCAAGCGUUAAUCGGAAUUACUGGGCGUAAAGCGCACGCAGGCGGUCUGUCAAGUCGGAUGUGAAAUCCCCGGGCUCAACCUGGGAACUGCAUUCGAAACUGGCAGGCUAGAGUCUUGUAGAGGGGGGUAGAAUUCCAGGUGUAGCGGUGAAAUGCGUAGAGAUCUGGAGGAAUACCGGUGGCGAAGGCGGCCCCCUGGACAAAGACUGGCGCUCAGGUGCGAAAGCGUGGGGAGCAAACAGGAUUAGAUACCCGGGUAGUC